GGAGUUUGGGCCGUGUCUCAGUCCCAAUGUGGCCGUCCGACCUCUCAGUCCGGCUACAGAUCGUCGCUUUGGUGGGCCGUUACCCCGCCAACUGGCUAAUCUGACGCGGGCCCAUCUCGUACCACCGGAGUUUUUCACACUGUAUCAUGCGAUACCGUGCGCUUAUGCGGUAUUAACAGUCGUUUCCAACUGUUAUCCCCCGGUACGAGGCAGGUUGCCCACGCGUUACUCACCCGUCCGCCACUAAGUUUACUCAAGCUUCGGCCGAAACCUCCGCAGCGAAUAAACUCCGUUCGACUUGCAUGUGUUAGGCACGCCGCCAGCGUUCAUC
RNAcentral lists this ribosomal RNA (331 nucleotides) under uncultured Butyrivibrio sp. RNAcentral's name for it is "partial 16S ribosomal RNA". Lineage: Bacteria; Bacillati; Bacillota; Clostridia; Lachnospirales; Lachnospiraceae. The record is from RNAcentral.